RNAcentral lists this ribosomal RNA (253 nucleotides) under uncultured bacterium. RNAcentral describes it as "partial 16S ribosomal RNA". It matches the Rfam family "Bacterial small subunit ribosomal RNA", at positions 524 to 776 of the family's 1533-position model. The record is from RNAcentral.
UACGGAGGGGGCGAGCGUUGUUCGGAAUUACUGGGCGUAAAGCGCACGUAGGCGGAUUGGUCAGUUGGGGGUGAAAUCCCGAGGCUUAACCUCGGAACUGCCCUCAAUACUGCCAAUCUAGAGAUCGGAAGAGGUAAGUGGAAUUCCUAGUGUAGAGGUGAAAUUCGUAGAUAUUAGGAAGAACACCAGUGGCGAAGGCGGCUUACUGGUCCGAUACUGACGCUGAGGUGCGAAAGCGUGGGGAGCAAACAGG